Molecule: long non-coding RNA, 2490 nt
Filed under: Marmota monax (woodchuck)
Lineage: Eukaryota; Metazoa; Chordata; Mammalia; Rodentia; Sciuridae
Source: RNAcentral
GUUUAUGGACCUUUAUUCUAUUUAUUAUUAUUAUUAUUAUUAUUAUUUAAAUAUUUAGUUUUUAAUUGUAUUGGACACCAUACACUUAUUUUAUUUAUUUUUAUGUGGUUCUGAGGAUCAAACCCAGCACAUGCAAAGCAAGCGCUCUGCCACUGAGCCUCAACCUCAGCCCCAAUUUUAUUUAUUAUUUAUAUAUGAUACUGAGAAUCAAACCAGAGCCUCACACAUGCUAGGCAUGCUCUGCCACUGAGCCCCAGCCCUAGCUCAUUCAUCCAUUUUUAAGUUGGUCUUUUUUGUUUUAGCUUUUAAGCUGUGUCCUUUUUAUACUCUGUAUGUAGGUCCCUUUUCAGCCAUAUGAGUUGUAAAAAUCUUCUGUGACUGUAUUGGUUUUCAUUUUCCUUCCCUCUGUACUGGGGCUUGAAUCCAGGGGAGCUCUGCCACUGAGCUACAUCCUCAGCCCCUUUUCAUUUUUUAUUUUGAGGCAGGAUUUUGCUAAGUGGCUGAGACCAACCUUGAACUUGGUAUCCUCUGCCUCAGUGUCCAGAGUUGCCUGGUUUAUAGAUGUGUGCCACCAUGCCCAGUUUGAAGUUUAAAUUAUUAUGAGUUUGAUUUCUCUCUUUUUUCUUAGUUGCUUGUGCAUUUGGUAUGUCAUAUACAGAAAUCAGAGUCACACAGAUUUAUGCCUGUUUUCUUUUAAGAGUUUUAUAAGAUGGGUGCAGUGAUGCACACUUGUAAUCCCAGCAGCUCAGGAGCCUGAGGCAGGAGGAUCAGAAGUUUAAAUCCAGGGUUGUCAACUUAGUGAGAUCCUGUCUCAAAAUAAAAAAUAAAAUAAGCAAUUUUUGGGGGGAGGGGUACUGGGGAUUGAACCCUGGGUACUUAGCCACGGAGCCAUAUCUUACCCCAAAGGUGUCUUGUUUUUGUUUGUUUUAGUUUUGGUACCUUGGAUUGGACCCAGGGGUGCUUAACCACUGAAACUUCCUUAGCCCAUUUUGUUUAUUUUUAAAUUUAGAGAUAGGGUCUCACUAAGUGGCUUAGGGCCUUGUUUAUUUCUGAGGCUGGCUUUGAAUUUGUGAUCCUCCUAUCUCAGCCUCCUGAGUUGCUGGGAUUACAAGUGUGAGCCACUGUACCUGGCAAAAUACACAUUUUUUUUUUUUAAUGCUGGUGAUGUACCUUAAUAUAUACAAAAAAACGAGUUUUAUAAAAGUUUUAUGUUUUAUAUGAAAGUCUUUGAUCUAUUUUGAGUUAAUUUUGUGUAUGAUGAAAGAUAGAGGUCCAACUUCAUUCUUUUGUAUGUGUGUAUAUCCAGUGGUCCCAGCACCAUUUGUUGAAAAGAUUCUUCUCAUGUUGAAUAGUGUUGGUAGCCUCAUGCUUUCAUGGCUACAAAAUAUUCCAUUACAUGAAAGUACCACAUUUUAUUUAUUUGACCGGUUCAGAUGGACAUUGGAUUUAUGGUUUUAAAACAGUGUACUUAUGUAAUCCCAGUGGCUCAGGAGGCUGAGACAGGAGGAUCUCGUGUUCAAAGCCAGCCUCAGCAAAAGUGAGGCACUGAGCAACUCAGUGAGACCUUGUUUCUAAGUAAAAUACAAAAUAGGAUUGGAGAUGUGGCUCAGUGGUCAAGUGCCCCUUAGUUCAAUCCCCAGUACCAAAAAAGAAAGAAAAAAGAAAAAAAAAAAAAAACAACAAAAAGCUCAGUGUACAUCUUUUAUUUUCUGCUAUACUAGGGAUUAAUCCUAGGGCCUCAUCCAUGCCAGGCAAGUGUUCUGAGCUGCCUCUCCAUCCUUUUUUAAAAGUUUUUGAAACAGCAUCUUUCUAAGUUGCCCAGGCUGGUUUCUACCCCUUGAUCUUUCUACUUCAGUCUCCUGAGUAGCUGGGAUUAAGGGAGAAUGCCACUGCAUCCAGCUACCAAGUUGUGCAGUAUAGGUGAGUCCAACAGAUAGACGGCAGACUUUCUUUAGUCACUUGCUUAUCUGACUAAUGAAAAAAAUCUAAUUUUUCUUUUUUAUUUAUUUUUUAGUGCCGGGAAUUGAACUCAGGGGCACUCAACAACUGAGCCACAUCCCCAGCCCUAUUUUGUAUAUUUUGAGACAGGGUCUCACUGAGUUGUUUAAUGCCUCCUUGUUGCUGAGGCUGGCUUUGAACUCAUGAUCCUGUCUCAGCUUCCUGAGCUGCUGGGAUUAUAGGCGUGCACCACUGUGCCCAGCCUAAUUUUUUAAAAAUUCGCAUUCUUUGGGGCUGGGAUUGUAGCUUAGUGGUGGAGCACUUGCCUAGCAUGUGUGUGAGGCGCUGGGUUCCAUUCUCAGCAUCACAUAUAAAUAAAUAAAUAUUUAAAAUAAAGGUCCAUCAACAACUAAAAAUAUUUAUUAAAAAAAGUUUUGCAUUCUUUGAUUAUGAACAAAAGUGGGAUCAUUUCACAGAAUAACUGAUCAUUUCUUUUUUCAUCUGUUAUGGAAUUUGUAUGUGUGUGUGGUGCUGGGGAUCAAACUUUGGGCC